UCUUCUCGUUGAAUCUGCAAACGGGUCAGCUGGACAGACCGGCAGGUGGUGCGCCCUGUGAGUAACGCGGCAACAGAUCGCGAUGGGAAUUCCCGAAAACGAAGUGACUGCGCAAUCUUGGAGAUGUCUUAGCUUUUGAUCAUUUCUGAGCUUGGCUUUCUACCCUUCCCAUUGGUAACAAGAACUCCAGGAUUUUUCAAGUAAGUGUCCUUUUGCUUAAUUUAGCUAAAGUUGGUUUCCAUUGCUUGCAGUCU
This 254-nucleotide long non-coding RNA is filed under the name Callithrix jacchus (white-tufted-ear marmoset). RNAcentral's name for it is "lncRNA (ENSCJAG00000081766.1)". The record is from RNAcentral. Lineage: Eukaryota; Metazoa; Chordata; Mammalia; Primates; Cebidae.